CGGAGGGUGCAAGCGUUAUCCGGAUUUAUGGGUUUAAAGGGUGCGUAGGCGGUAUUUUAAGUCAGUGGUGAAAUGUUGCAGCUUAACUGUAGAAUUGCCAUUGAAACUGAAGUACUUGAGUUAUCUUGAGGUAGGCGGAAUGUGUAGUGUAGCGGUGAAAUGCUUAGAUAUUACACAGAACACCGAUUGCGAAGGCAGCUUACUAAGGAUAAACUGACGCUCAGGCACGAAAGCGUGGGGAUCGAACAGGAUUAGAUACCCUGGUAGUCCACGCCGUAAACGAUGAUAACUCGCUGUUGGCGAUACACAGUCAGCGGCUUAGCGAAAGCGUUAAGUUAUCCACCGGGGGAGUACGCCCGCAAGGGUG
Molecule: ribosomal RNA, 367 nt
Filed under: uncultured organism
Description: bacterial SSU rRNA
Rfam family: Bacterial small subunit ribosomal RNA
Source: RNAcentral